AAAAAGUGCUGAGGUUUUAUUGGAACAAUUAACAUUCUGACAAAAAUGUUUAUGAAUGUACUCUGUACUUUACUAAUACUGUCUUUUUUCAUUUAUAUCUAAAUUUCCCCUUCUAUUUAAUAACCAGUUUUGAUUUUUUAUAUGAAAUCUAUAACUUCUUAAUUCAUACAGAUUCUUCUCUUUUUCUCCUUAUUUCUUAGCUUAAAUUCAGUUUAAGUUUUAUUGGUAUCUUAAGCUUCAUGUGUAUUCUUACUCCUAAACACCAGCAGUUCUUCAGAAGCCUAAAAUCCAGCAUGGGAAUCACUAAAAUCCACUAACCUUAAGUGCUAUGGAUCACAUCAUACGAACUCAUCUCCCUAUGACCUAGUCAAACUACAGACAGCAAACUAUAGCUUUAAGUUUAAAUUCUAGCAUUUAAACCCUAAUUAGAAAUUUAUACGAAACACAAUUUUAUGUUCAAAUAUGGAAAUAAGCAACAUAAUUCCAAAACCCAAAAGUAUCCCAGCAUUCUGUAAAAA
Molecule: long non-coding RNA, 518 nt
Filed under: Bos taurus (domestic cattle)
Lineage: Eukaryota; Metazoa; Chordata; Mammalia; Artiodactyla; Bovidae
Description: long non-coding RNA NONBTAT014906
Source: RNAcentral